GAUGAACGCUGGCGGCGUGCUUAACACAUGCAAGUCGAACGAUGAAGCCCAGAGCGCUGGGUGGUUUAGUGGCGAACGGGCGGGUGAGACGGGAGUAAACUGCCCUCAACUCUGGGAUAGGGCAGGGCGACGGGGUCUAAUACCGGAUAGGAGCGACCACCGCCGGGUGGGUGUUGGAGAGAUUUAUCGGUUUUGGAUGGACUCGCGGCCUAUCCGCUUGUGGGUGAGGUAGUGGCUCACCAAGGCCACGACGGGUAGCCGGCCCGAGACGGUGAACGGCCUCACUGGUACUGAGACACGGAGCAGUCGGCUACGGGAGGCAGCAGUCGGAAAUAUUGCACAGUGAGCGCAAGCCUGAUGCAGCGGCGCCGCGUGCGGGAUGACGGCCUUCGGGUUGAGAACCUCUUUCAGUAGGGAAGAAGCGAUAGUGACGGUACCUACAGAAGAAGCACCGGCUAACUACGUG
This 466-nucleotide ribosomal RNA is filed under the name uncultured bacterium. Its description in RNAcentral is "partial 16S ribosomal RNA". It matches the Rfam family "Bacterial small subunit ribosomal RNA", at positions 28 to 507 of the family's 1533-position model. The record is from RNAcentral.